GUAGGGAAUAUUGCACAAUGGGCGAAAGCCUGAUGCAGCAACGCCGCGUGCGCGAUGAAGGCCUUCGGGUCGUAAAGCGCUUUUCGGGGAGAUGAGGAAGGACAGUAUCCCCGGAAUAAGGCUCGGCUAACUACGUGCCAGCAGCCGCGGUAAAACGUAGGAGCCAAGCGUUAUCCGAAUUCACUGGGCGUAAAGCGCGUGCAGGCGGCAUGAUAAGUUGGAUGUGAAAUCUCCUGGCUCAACUGGGAGGGGACGUUCAAUACUGUCAAGCUAGAGGACGGCAGAGGGAGGUGGAAUUCCCGGUGUAGUGGUGAAAUGCGUAGAUAUCGGGAGGAACACCAGUGGCGAAAGCGGCCUUCUGGGCCGAUCCUGACGCUCAGACGCGAAAGCUAGGGGAGCGAACGGGAUUAGAAACCCUUGUAGUCC
This 426-nucleotide ribosomal RNA is filed under the name uncultured bacterium. Its description in RNAcentral is "partial 16S ribosomal RNA". It matches the Rfam family "Bacterial small subunit ribosomal RNA", at positions 354 to 796 of the family's 1533-position model. The record is from RNAcentral.